RNAcentral lists this ribosomal RNA (226 nucleotides) under uncultured Polynucleobacter sp. RNAcentral describes it as "partial 16S ribosomal RNA". It matches the Rfam family "Bacterial small subunit ribosomal RNA", at positions 1156 to 1382 of the family's 1533-position model. Lineage: Bacteria; Pseudomonadati; Pseudomonadota; Betaproteobacteria; Burkholderiales; Burkholderiaceae. The record is from RNAcentral.
UGACAAACCGGAGGAAGGUGGGGAUGACGUCAAGUCCUCAUGGCCCUUAUGGGUAGGGCUUCACACGUCAUACAAUGGUGCAUACAGAGGGUUGCCAACCCGCAGGGGGAGCUAAUCUCAGAAAAUGCAUCGUAGUCCGGAUCGUAGUCUGCAACUCGACUACGUGAAGCUGGAAUCGCUAGUAAUCGCGGAUCAGAAUGUCGCGGUGAAUACGUUCCCGGGUCUU